AGAUUAUCAGCUAUCAGAUUAUCAGAUUUGAAUGGCUUUGCCUUGUACAUCGAGAUUACUUUGUACAUGAGUAAGACUAUUCAUUGGGAACUCUUUAUGGUGUGAUUUUUCAGUAUUUAUUCAGUUCUCAGAUUUCAGAUUAUGGAAGUCAGAUAAUUCAGUUUUUAGAAUAAAGCUUUCAGCUUAUACUAUUGAGCAGCAACAAUAUUUCAUAGAUUUUCAUGAAUAUCAAAUUCUUUAUAUUUGUUAUAUCUCACAGAUAUUUAUCUAGAAUUUAGAAUAAAGAAUUUUAUAAUGUAAUCAUGCUUAGUUUUUAAAAGUAUUACUAGAUUCAGAAAUUCUCAAGGAUUUAAUAAAGUUAAAAUUUUUAAAAAAUAUGCAUAAAUAGAAAAAGUUUACUUAUUUGCAAAUCAUCCACUCACUGAGUUACAAACUCAUAUUUUUGUCAUGUUUUUCCUAUCAGGAGACAGUUGAUUUUUGAGAUACUGGGAAAAGCCUGCUGAAGCCAAAGAGACAGUUUCGUAGUAUGUAAUGUAUAGUUGGGGAACUCAUGUUUAUUAAGUACUUGUCUAAUAUUUGGUGUGUCAUGCACUUCGUAGAAAGGUUGGUAAUUGAUGUAAUGUUUGCAUAUUGACAUGAUGAUAUUGUAGAAGCACUCAGUCGAAUUUUGUUAUAUUUUGUAGUAGUUGUGGUGGUAUUAGAGGAAGUGGUGGUUUCCAUUAAAUGUCUAUUUGAGAUUUUGAUGAUUUUUCAGGUUGGUUUUGUCCAUGUUACAGGGGAAAUUCUGUCAAAAUUUUUAUAGAAUUAUGUCAUGGUCAAGUAGGUCACGU
RNAcentral lists this long non-coding RNA (830 nucleotides) under Olea europaea (common olive). Its description in RNAcentral is "long non-coding RNA (OEUR_LNC009435)". The record is from RNAcentral. Lineage: Eukaryota; Viridiplantae; Streptophyta; Magnoliopsida; Lamiales; Oleaceae.